GAAGAAAUUUUGAUAUCAUAAUCAUAGAGUCAACAUUGAGAGAAAGUGCUGCAAGGCAUCGUCAUUUUUAACAAAUACAUCAAAAAGUAUGAAUCAGUAAAAACAUUAUUGUUCGAGUCAAAAAAAGGAGUUCCGUUUUAUUGCCAUAAAACCACUACGGUACUCUCCUUCAAGUGGCUUCGAGCUGCUCCCAUGCUUCCUUGGUUUCUAAGGCUGAACCUCGUGCGGCUUGGGAGGGAUUAAUGGCGGCUAUGUGCCAAAUGGGAUUCACAUGUAUGUGGCUCCAAAGAGACUCCCUAACGGUGAUCACUUGGAUUCGCAACAAUCUCUCCUCCUUUUGAUGCUCUGGUAUUCUCCCUUUGCUUCGCCUCAAAUCUCGGUCUCGCAUGCUUUUCGAGAAGCAAAUCUUACAUGCUUUCCCAGAAGUAAAUCAAUCAACGGAUGCUCUUGCCUUAUCCCAUGUGGCUGCCUCCUUUUCCUCUAUUUCUUUGCUGCCCUCUAUUGCUCGAUCGCUGGUGUUGGCUGAUGUGGCCGGCAUCAGCUUCCCUAGAGCCUAGCUUCUUUCCUGCCUUCUCUCUUUUGGGCCUUCGGAGCCCCCUCUAAUAACCAAAAAAAAAAAAACUUAACUAAAGGCUGACAUUGAUACCACCAAAUAUUGUCUCCUGCUUUGAAAUGGACUGCACUUAACAUUCACACCAUGGUUAACCGUGGAAACGUCAUGAAUUUGGGCAACUGUGUUCGGCUACUAAAAACCUGAAAUGGAGAGUGAAAGAAAAUGACGAAUAAUUAUUGAUAUAAUUUUUAAAGAUUAUAACUAAUGAUUUUUGCAGUAAAUUACUUCAGCAGAAGCCUACCGUACUUUGCGCAAAGCCUAGCGUCGACCAUCUAGUUCCAGAGCAAUUGCACCAGUUUUUGGCAUCAUGUAGACAACAAGCAGACAAUGCAUGCGACCA
Molecule: long non-coding RNA, 953 nt
Filed under: Elaeis guineensis (African oil palm)
Lineage: Eukaryota; Viridiplantae; Streptophyta; Magnoliopsida; Arecales; Arecaceae
Description: long non-coding RNA (EGUI_LNC033242)
Source: RNAcentral